GGGUCAGUAGGUUGGUCGUGCCACCGGUACGUACUGGUCUCACUGAUUCCUCCUUCCUGAAGAACCGUAAUGCCAUUAAUUUGGUGUUGCUGGGAAACAGGACUGUUACUUUGAAAAAAUUAGAGUGUUUAAAGCAAGCUAUCGCUUGAAUACAUUAGCAUGGAAUAAUGAAAUAGGACGAUCGAUCCUAUUUUGUUGGUUUCUAGGAUUGACGUA
Molecule: ribosomal RNA, 216 nt
Filed under: Glomeromycotina sp.
Lineage: Eukaryota; Fungi; Glomeromycota
Description: partial small subunit ribosomal RNA
Rfam family: Eukaryotic small subunit ribosomal RNA (bases 40-216)
Source: RNAcentral